Molecule: long non-coding RNA, 668 nt
Organism: Lolium rigidum
Lineage: Eukaryota; Viridiplantae; Streptophyta; Magnoliopsida; Poales; Poaceae
Exons: 3
Source: RefSeq, a predicted model, not a curated record
GUUAUAUCUCAAAUCUCACAAGUACUAUCUUCUGACAUGUUAAGUCGUGCUGAUUAUAUUUUCCCUGUCUGAAGUAGACCUCUUGAACAUGUCAACCUAGGCAUCUGCUGUGAUUUUCACUAGCUUUGAUUGAGUACAUAUUGCAGUCUGUUUGUUUUGAAGUAGGUGUAUUGUGAUUAAAAUAGGGAAUACCAUGUAUUUUUACAACAAUUUUUUUAUCUAAACAAUUAUAUAUGCAGCAUUACAAAUAUAUCCAGAAAGGUAUUAUAGCAUUCGACCAGGAGACCAAGAUGCAAAGUGUCAAGAAGCAGUGUAAUAUAAAAAGCUCAUCAUUUGUCUGAGCUAGCACUUACUGAGAAGAUAUUCGUGCAAACACCAAAAUCUGACAUCCAGCAACAGGUAAGGGAGCCUGAAAGAGAGAAGAAAUGAAGUAUUCAAAGUAAUGAAGCAGACAGUCUGCAUCGAGGCUGAAUGUCUACCGAAAGAGGAAUUACAGGGACUGUUCCAGUUCCUAGAGUGCUUUGUUAGAGACAAGGAGAAGGAUCCCUUACAGAGGGAGAGGCAUGUGACACGGCUCCGCAAAGAGACAUAAUUGACAUGUAAUACGCCAAGGAAAGCAUCGAAAUAAAGAGAUAACACAGAAACAUUGUAUCUAAUUAGGCCAUCUA